This 71-nucleotide transfer RNA is filed under the name Ovis aries (sheep). It matches the Rfam family "tRNA". Rfam says of the family: Transfer RNA (tRNA) molecules are approximately 80 nucleotides in length. Lineage: Eukaryota; Metazoa; Chordata; Mammalia; Artiodactyla; Bovidae. The record is from Rfam by way of RNAcentral.
UCCCUGGUGGCUAUGUGGUUAAGAAUCUGUCUGCAAUGCAGGAGACGCAGGUUCGAUCCCUGGCUAGGGAA